This 245-nucleotide ribosomal RNA is filed under the name uncultured bacterium. RNAcentral's name for it is "partial small subunit ribosomal RNA". It matches the Rfam family "Bacterial small subunit ribosomal RNA", at positions 26 to 285 of the family's 1533-position model. The record is from RNAcentral.
AGAAUCAACGCUGGCGGCGUGCCUAACACAUGCAAGUCGAACGAGAAAGUGGAGCAAUCCAUGAGUAAAGUGGCGCACGGGUGCGUAACACGUGACUAACCUACCCUUGAGUGGGGGAUAACCUAGAGAAAUCUGGGCUAAUACCGCAUAAUACCUUCGGGUCAAAGGAGCAAUUCGCUUAAGGAGGGGGUCGCGGCCGAUUAGUUAGUUGGCGGGGUAAUGGCCCACCAAGACUAUGAUCGGUA